AUAAUUCUUUAGAAUCCAAUAAUUAAGCUGAGAUGUCGUCAGAAGAGUUGGAGCCGACUCGCUCAAGAUCAUGUGGAUCAAAGAAAAAAUUGAAGAAAAGGGAAGAAGCUUUGUCGUCAGAAGAGUCGGGGCCGACUCGAUCAAGAUCACGUGGAUCAAAAAAAGUAUAAAAUUUCCUAUUCGCAGUAUUUUUUAAGAUAUUACUUCAUGAUGUAUCAUCUUUUUGUAAUUACAUUUUGUACUUAAAAUAAUGUUUUUAUAAUUAUUGUUAUAACCUUUUAGAAUUGAAGAAAAGGGAAGAGGUUUUGU
Molecule: non-coding RNA, 309 nt
Organism: Hydra vulgaris (swiftwater hydra)
Lineage: Eukaryota; Metazoa; Cnidaria; Hydrozoa; Anthoathecata; Hydridae
Source: RefSeq, a predicted model, not a curated record